This 2903-nucleotide unclassified non-coding RNA is filed under the name uncultured fungus. RNAcentral describes it as "sequence contains 18S rRNA gene, ITS1, 5.8S rRNA gene, ITS2, 28S rRNA gene". The stretch from base 1783 to 2903 matches the Rfam family "Eukaryotic large subunit ribosomal RNA", at positions 1 to 960 of the family's 3401-position model. Lineage: Eukaryota; Fungi. The record is from RNAcentral.
GGAGGGAUCAUUAACACUAAUCCACGGGACACCUUUUCUGAAAAAAAAGGGGAUUAGUAAAACGGGGGGUCUCUUGAUGUUCGAAGGAUUCUGCAAGUGCCAAGUUGUGGAUCCGAAGAAUAUUGGGGGGUUCUCUGAGUGUAUUGAGCUGAGGAAGUAUAGUUGCUGGCACCAACUAUGCCUUCCUUGCUUGGUGCGACCCAUGUUGAUGUCAAGCCUCCUGCAUGGCCCAUAUUGGGGUGGCUUGGUGUCUGCAAGGUUGGGGGAUAAAGGAACUUUGGUGAGGAGUAGCUCCCUUGCCAGCUUUCUGGAGUCCAUUUCUUCUUUAAACUCUCUACUUCGGUGGAGGGGAUGGGAGGAAAACCUGACUUAGUGGGGCAAGUGGUGUCUUUCGGGACACCACAAGGGGGGUCUUGGUUGUUUGGAGGACUUCUACACUGCCAGUUGUAGAAGACCAAAAAAUGGCCUGUGAUCUCUGAGUGUGCCAUGUGGGGAGACCAAUGACGCUGGCACGUUAGCGGACUCUUUGUGUGGUGCGACCCAUGUUGAUGUCAAGCCUCCUGCAUGGCCCAUAUUGGGGUGGCUUGGUGUCUGCAAGGUUGGGGGAUAAAGGAACUUUGGUGAGGAGUAGCUCCCUUGCCAGCUUUCUGGAGUCCAUUUCUUCUUUGAACUCUCUACUUCGGUGGAGGGGAAUGGGAAGAAAACCUGACUUAGUGGGGAGUGGUGUCUUUCGGGAUACCACAAACGGGGGGUCUUGGUUGUUUGGAGGACUUCUACACUGCCAGUUGUAGAAGACCAAAAAAUGGCCUGUGAUCUCUGAGUGUGCUAUGUGGGGAGACCAAUGACGCUGGCACGUUAGCGGACUCCUUGUGUGGUGCGAUCCAUGUUGAGGCCUGACUUAGGUUUUCCUUUCCUUGAGUCUUGCAAACUCUUGGAUUGGAGACUAUUUGGUCUUGGCUUCUGGAGGGGUUAGGAGGGAUGAAGGGGAACUUUUGGUUUAUGGUCUGCCCAAAGCCAAUUUUUUUCUUGACUUCCUCGCUCUUUCUUGGCUUAGUAAAGUGGCAAUUUACUUUGCUGGGGGGGAGAACUGACCUUAGUGGAGCAAAUGGUGUCGAGUGCGCCCGAAAAAAGACAUCAUGGUGGGCCGGUGGGAGGGGUUAUCAAAACUUGUUCAAAAAAAAACAUAAUCCAUUGGUGGUGGAUGACUCGGCUCCAGUGUCGAUGAAGAACGCAGCGAACUGCGAUACGUAACAUGAAUUGCAGGAAACUGUGAAUCGUCGAAAUUUUGAACGUACUAUACCUGGGGCUAAUCAGCCCUAGGUACAUCCAGUUGAGUGACGCGUCUAUCUACCUCUGUAGUUUAAAAUGAGGUGAAGUUGUGAGUGUAGCAUUUCGGUGCUAGUCUCAUUAAAUAAAAAAUCCCACCGUGGCUCAGUCCUGAGAGUUUUACUUAACUGUUCAACUUCUCAUGGUGCUGAAAUUGAUGGAGUAUCCAGCCACUUAUUUUUUUCUCUUUUGAAAGAAAAAAAGGGCUGUGGCAAAAGGAACGUGUCCAAUAGGAACCCCAGAUCUUCGGGCAUUAGUACUUAGACGUCCAAGGUUCUCUUGGAGAAAAACAUCAAGAGGUAGCUCCGCCCCUUCUCCCUCGUGGAGGAGGUGUCGUCUAACCUUCCAGGGCUCUAACCUCACGGAUUAGGGGGGGAUAAAAGGCAGGUAUAAAAUCCAAUAUCGCAAAUACGGGGAUAGAGACCUAGCGAUCGUCUGGGCGGGUCGUCCCUCAAUCGUCCUCAACUUGGGUGGGAUAACCCGCUAAACUUAAGCAUAUCAGUCAGCGGAGGAAAAGAAAGCAACUGCGAUUCCCUUAGUAACUGCGAGUGAAGCGGGAGCAGCUCAACACUGAAUCGGGUGGCCUCGCUGCCAUUCCGAGGUGUAGUGUUUCGAAGCGACUCGGGUGAUAAGUCUUGUUAAGUUGUUGGAAAACAACGCCAUAGAGGGUGAUAGCCCCGUUGCAGGACGAUGCAUCCAUAGUAGUCGACUUCGCCGAGUCGUACUGUUUGAGAGUACAGUGCAAAAUGGGAGAUGAAUUUCUCCUAAAGCUAAAUACACACUGGAGACCGAUAGCAAACAAGUACUGUGAAGGAAAGUUGCAAAGAACUCUGGAGAGAGAGUUAGAGGAACCUGAAACCACCAAUGGGAAGGGUUCGGGAACGCCAUUCUGUACUUGCUCAGGAGAAUCCGGGUAGGCAAUUGGGGGAGUGUCUGAGGGGGAUUUUCUCUCCAGCCUUUUUCAUUUGUUUAUCUUAUCCUCUGCAUUCAUGUACACAGAUUACCAUUGAGGUAGGGGAAACCAAACGACGGGUGCUGUGGUGUUGAGUAUGUCUUUCGGGUCAUUUCUCAUCCAAAUGGUACUCUGAUCUGGGGACUUUUACUUCACGCUCUCUUAUGGGAGUGAGUCUGUGGCCUCGCCAGCACGUGGGUGGCGCCAGGCUUGGUUUGGGGGAGCCACAACAUGUUGUAGCUUUUCUGGGCUGGGUCUGCACGUGUCCAUUCGCACACAGACGUAAAAAUGGCUUCUGACUUCAUGGAAGACCUGAACCUCCCGUCUUGAAACACGGACCAAGGAGUCUAACUAAUACGCGAGUAAUUGGGUCCCAAACCCAUUUGCGAAAUGGAAGUAAUUGUGGUAAGGUUUGUACCUGCCCCACAGCCCGAUCGAAACAUUGCGCUUCGAAUCGAGUUCCAGCGUAUUGGUUAGGACCCGAAAGGUUGCGAACUAUGCUUGUAUAGGAUGAAGCCAGGCGAAAGUCUGGUGGAAGUCCGUAGCGGUGCUGACGUGCAAAUCGCUCGUCAAAUAUGAGCAUAGCGGCGAAAGACUAAUCGAGCAACCUAGUAGCUGGUUCCCC